CUCAUCUCUUGGACUCGCUUGCUAUUCCCGAAAAGGGGGAAAGGAUUUGGGGGGGACAAUCGCGGAGCCUCUCGCUGGCUUUAGGGAGAGAGGGCUGGGGUAGAGGAGAGCCCCAGGGAGCAGGCAGAGGUGGGUUGGCUAGGGCCUUGUGUGACUUGGGCUGAGAAACUUCACUUAUUCCCUGGCGCUGGCAGUUGUCAAACUGGGUCUUGUAGAUGCUAAGUCUCCAUAGAGGUAUCGUAGGUGUUCAAGAUGAAGGAGAAGGCUCUCAUUAACAUGGCCUCACAAGAGAACCAGACUUCAGGGAGAGGAGAGCAGAAGGAUAUUCUUUCUGGGAGCCCUGAGCCCAUCUAACCUCCAGUUCGUCCAUCAACUGAUUACUGCUCAGUCACCUCAGAUGAUACCACUGGGAGCCAGAGAACUGCCUAGCUGUGCCCUGCCUGAAUGUCUGACUCAUCACUCAUGGUGGAUGACCUUUUUCCUGAAGAAACUGCUGCAGAAUGAAAGCUCCAGGCGCUUGGGUGCAGCAAGUAGGCUAUGCAUUUCCCACCAGCAGGAAUCUAGCUCCUGGCCAAGGAAAUCAUACGUGAUGUGUAGGGAAGUGUGUGGGGCAGUGGAAGGAAUGUGGACCGUUGCCUCCCUUCGCUUGUCUGGAUGACCUUGGAUGAGGCCUCAAUCCUGGUAGUCACCUGGACUCCUCCUGAAUUUCCCGCAUGUCCUGCAGCAGUGACCCCAUCUGACAUGUUGUGUGGCUGGCUGUCCCCCAGUGAAAUCAUAGCCCUGGAGGGCAGGGUGUGUUUCUUCGUUUUCCUGCCUGGUGUGUGGAGACCCUGUGUGACCGUGGCGCAGAUCAGGAGCUCGGUGAGUUUAAGAGAAAACAACGAUUCCUACACUCACUGCCUUAAGUCAGAAUCUUUUCUCUCUGGGCCUGCCUCUCCCAUUAGCCCUGGGCUGUUCGCAGCCACAGACCCCUCUGAGCCACUUCUGUGUUUCCAGGGCUGGCCACCAGCAGGGGCUCAGGAAUGUUUCUUGAACUAAGUUGAACAGAUCUGAGCAGCUGGGAUGUCAACAGGUGAACCUGGAUGGGGGGAGAUAGGUCAGGCUUGGUGCCCAUCAGGCCCAGGGCCAGCACAAGUCACUUACCUGGGAGGUGAAGGAGAGGAGCAGGGAGAGCAGGCA
RNAcentral lists this long non-coding RNA (1179 nucleotides) under Homo sapiens (human). RNAcentral describes it as "HSALNT0305805". The record is from RNAcentral. Lineage: Eukaryota; Metazoa; Chordata; Mammalia; Primates; Hominidae.